ACUUCCGGUUGAUGCCUCUGGGCGGGCACGCCGGACUUUGCGGAGCUAUGGGCCCGCCCGGACGUGGUGUAUGCUGGAACUUGUAGUCUUUGGUGCUGCCUCCCCUCCUAGAUGGAAUAAAUGUGCUUAAAGAAAAUUACGUAUCUACAAAAAGUACGGUUGACGCUCAUUAUCUGGGAUUUGUAUUUUCAAAUUCACUUACUCGUUAAGGUUUUUUUCUGGUAAGCCCCAAAUCAAUAAUGCGCGCUUUCUGGGGUUACUCCCGGGCAUGCGCAGGGGGAACAUUUGGAGUCUGCAGGGAUUUAAGUUUCCAGCUGUGAUUGAACCAGGCAGAGGCUUCAACUUCUUGGUUCAACUCUCCCUGCUGUAAACAAGAGUCGUUUUCGCAGAUCUAUCCACUGCCACUUUUAACUGCAUUUUUGUGCUUUUUAUUGGUCUUUGCGGUUUAAAAUAGCCCCAAAGCACAGUGCCGAAGUGCUGUCGGGUGUUCCCAAGCGCAAGAAGGCUGUGAUGUGCUUACGGAGAAAAUACGGGUGUUAGACCAGCUCGGUUCAGGCGUGAGUUACAGUGCCGUUGGCCGUGAGUUUAAGGUUAAUGAAUCAACCAUCUGGUGUAUCAAGAAAAAGGAGAAGGAAAUUCGCCGGUCUGUACGUGAGGCCGCUCCAGAAAGCGCUAGAUUGACCUCUCUAGUGCGUGAUUAAGCCAUGGAAAAGAUGCAAAAGCGGCUUAAUUUGUGGAUUCAUGAGAUGACGACCGACCAAAAAAAAAAAAAAAAAAAGAGCAUAAUGGACAGCAUUGUUGUGAGACUGAAAGCCAAAGAAAUCUACUGUCACGUUACCCAGGGUCAGAGAACUGUGAAGCCCUUCUCGGCCAGCGCCGGCUGGCUCGCCCGGGUCAAGCGGCGCUACGGGGUGAAAAAUGUUACCCUCGCAGGAGAGGCGAGUUCUGCAGACCUGGAAGCUGCGGAAGAAUUUAAGAAAUACUGGCUAAGUGUUAUACAGGAGAAAGGUUAUGUGGAAGAGCAGGUUUUCAAUGUCGAUGAGACCGACUUGUUUUACAAGGAUGUUGGCAAACGAACCUAUGUAACGCAAAUGGCCUCUAGAGCCUCUGGCUUUAAGUCAUUCCAAGACCAUGCAACCUUGCUAUUGUGCACCAAUGCCAAGGGUGACUUUAAGUGCAAACCCUUAAUGGUGUACAGAGCCCAAAAUCCACGAGUACUUAAAGGGGAAAACGUGAACCCUAUGCCAGUCCAUUGGAGGUGGAACUAAAAAAGCAUGGAUGAUGUCUGAUUGGUUCCACAAUUGCUUCAUUCCAGAAGUUGAACACUAUCUCCAGGGCAGAAACCUUGCUUUCAAGGUUUUAUUAAUUUUGGAUAAUGCUCCAGUCCACUGCCGUGAAGAAGUUGAAAACGCACACCCCAAUGUAAAAGUUCUUUUUAUGCCUACAAACACUACAUCUUUCAUCCAAUCCCUUAAUCAGGGUAUAAUAAAAGCUUUCAAAGCACAUUAUACUAAAGAGCUUUACACAAAGGCUUGGGAGUCUCUCAAGGCCAAUAAGGAAACCACCAUGAUGGACUAUUGGAAGUCAGUCACUAUAUGCAUCGUUAUUAAUUAUGUUGGCACAGCCUGGGACAGCAUCAAGCCAGCUUCUAUCAAUAACUGUUGGAAAAAUGUUUGGCCUGACUGUGUGAAAAAUUUGGAAGGCUUUGAAGGUAUUACAGAAAAUAUAAAGAACAGUGUCAGAAACAUAAUGCACAUUGCACAGCAAAUAAGCGGAGAAGGCUUUGAGGACAUGAAGGAAGAUGAUGUGGAGGAACUUUUGGCAGAGAAAACAGUAGAACCCACCAAUGAAGACCUGGAUGAGAUGGCGAAACAAGGCACCAGAGUCAGUAGGGAUGAGGAUGGCAACAGUAGUCAGCCCAAGACUCCAAGAAUUCUCCCUCUGACAGCAGCCAAAAUAGCGGAAUGGAAUUCUGCCUUGGAAAAAAUUUUUAAUGACAUGAAGGAGUGUGACCCUAUGCUUGAUUGCAGCCUCAUAUUCAAGCGCCUUGCCUCCACUGCAUUUGCCCCAUACACUGAGAUACUUAAAGAAAUGAGGCAGAGAGCCAAUCAGACAAAGCCAAUGGGAGGGACACCUGCCCACCCUGUCAACAAGUGGCGAUAGCCCAACUCCUAAGGUAGAACUGCCAGAUGUCAAAAUGCCACUCUCUUCCUCUUCUGCAGAAUAAAUUCCACCCAACUCUCCCUUGGUUUUCAUGGAGCAAGCCAAGGUUGAGCUUUACACACCAUCCACUGCCCUUCCACAUCCCGCAGCUCCAUUAACAAUGAAACAUUUUAAUUAUACUCCAAUUUUGGGAUACAGUAAUCAGAAGCAAAUGCAGGUGAGACAUUGAUGACUGCCAUGCUAUUUGUUCCAUACUUUCUAAAAAUUGAGAGAGGUUUUUCUCAACUUAAAGUUGCUUCUCACUGAUACUCUGGACUGGACUGGAUCUAUGUCAUCCAAUCCUUGAGUUAUCUAAAUCAGGGAAUAGAUUAGGCAUGUGAGUAGAGACAUUACAGAAGGCUCUAUAACUAGCAAACUUAAAAAAAAAAACAGCCCAAUCCAUGUAUCAAAUCAAUUUUAGAAUAUUUUUAUCACCCCAAAAAGAAACCCUGCACUCAUUAAUCAUUCCUGUUUUACCUGAUCACCACAUCUGAACAUUCCAUGUAAACGGACUCAUAUAAUGUGUGACUGGCUUCUUUUAUUUUGAGCCACAUCCCUAGCCCUUUUUUAUUUUUUUUUUAAAUUUUGAGAUAGGGUCUCUCAGCAGGUUGCUUACAGCCUCGCUAAAUUGCUGAGGCUGGCAUUGAACCUGCAAUCCUCCUGCCUCAGCCUCCCGACCUGCUGGGAUUAUAGGCAGGCGCCACUACACCUGGCUCUUAGAACCUGACAUUUUCAAAGCUCACCUAGAAGUGUUCAGUCAUGAAGCUUUACCUUUUGAGGAAUUGCCAAAUUGUUUUUCAAAACAGUGGCACCACUUGAUAUUCAUGAGAUCCCAAUUUCCCCACACCCUUGCCAACACCUUGUGUUUUUGACUGCAGGGUAUGCAGUGACAACUGAGUUUUGUUUUUGGCUUGGAUCUCACUAAUAUGUUACUCAAAACCCCUUUUUCAGUUGCCCGGAUCACUGGGAUUACAGGCACCUACCAAUGCCCUGGUUUCUCAUUGUAGUUCUUUUUGGAAACUGAAAAUUCCUCCCCUGCUGAGUCCUGAAUACCCAUAAUCUCAGGGGCUUCCGGUGGAACUAUGUGCAUAUCCUUUGCUCUGCACUCUAGCUGGCUACUAGAAUCAUCCUGUUUCUUGAACUGAGUGGCAGUCACGUAAGUAUAUAUAUGUAAAAAGUUAUCAGGUUACACAUUUAAGGUUUUUGUACUCUAUUGCCUGUUAAACCUAAAUUAAAAAAAAAAUUAGAAUAGGCAGUCCCCUGCCAGACAAUGUACAUCUACAAUGUCAGCAACUGUAGCAGUCAUUUUAUGACCAUGAGGUAAACUACCCAAAUUGGAAUAAUCCAACUUGCUGAAAAUGGCAGAACAGAAAUCUGAUUUAUUAUGUCACCAAGGUCAUUAAAUUAGCCUAAUUUGGAGUUUUUCUUCAGGUAGAUUUAGUAUUGAAAUUAUUAGCUUUUCACACAUUACAUCAAUAUUCAUCCAUCUCAGCACAGAAUCACACAAAUAUUGGUGGUGAUACAUGGCUCACAAUAUGGAAUUAAUGUAUCAAAGGCAUGUGUAAAUACAAUGUAAUCACAUCUUUGAACAAGAAUUUUCCUAUAAAUUAGUAAAAAGUUGAACAUAAAAUAAAGUUCAACAUAUAUGUUAAAUAUUGUUACUAAAAAUACCAAAAACUAAAGUCACACAAUUUUAUUACAAAAGAUUAAACUCAUUAGCCACUAAAUAAGAAAUGCAGUUCCAACUCACAGGAUUUAAAGUAAUUCUUUAUUGAUAAACGUUUACACUUGAAUUAGAAAUGUCAGUAGAAAAAUAAAAUUUAAAUAAUUUUCUAUUGUACAAAGAUUUGAUCCUUUUGACUGUCGCAGUUAGUGAAAUAACCUAAUACAAAAUGUUAUGCUGAUUUGGUCACAACCAGCCUUAUAGAAUGCACAAAAAGAAAUGCAAGUUCACAAAAACUUUCUGCGUGUUGAUCACUGAUGGCACCAAGGCUUCACAUUCCAGGAAAUGGUUCCUCAGGGACAGGAGGCGUGUGCUGCAGUGUAGUAAGAACUUUAUACAAACCAGAGCAGUCAGAAAGGACAUUGGAAUCAAAAGACAACAUACCAUGUAAAAACUUAAAAAGACAUAAGGAAGGAUUUAAAGUUCAUUAUUUGCAUGAACUGUUUCUCACUAGUUUAAACGUUUCAUAAAAAUUAGUAUCCUGCUGCAAAAAAAAAAAAAAGCUAAUAGCACAGAGAAAAAUCUUUCUCAUAAUAUUCAUUAAGCUUUUGUUUAUGAACUUAAGUUCACAAAAUGCCUUUCCCCCAAAAUCCUAUUAAAGAAUCAGGAAAUCAGCUUUAAUGGCUGGGGGCUACCUCCCCACAUUAAAAAACCGUUGGUGGGGACAGUGGAAGCACAGCUAGGGGAAUGGUGGUUACAUCUAUUUCUAAGAAAGUCAGUUGUUGGCAAAAGUUCUCAAAAAACUAUAUAAGGUAAAAUGUUCAACAUAAAUGCCAAUAUUCUUCCAUCUGAGCAACCACCUGUAAAUAAAUCUGUAUUUGAGACAAGGAAAAGAGAAAGAAAAAGGAAGGAAAAGAGAAAACCAAAGUGGAAUACAUUCUUUGUUUAGCAUUCAAAUAGUUUUUCCCUGAAAACAUUUCAAGCUACACAGCACGAUCUAUACAUUUAUUCACAGGAAAAUGCUUCACAUACUGGGGUGGAGGAAACAUUUAGCAAUUUAAAGAUACAACUUAUAUUUGAAGUUUUUAAAGAAUAGAUAAUCAAAUAAGAAACAGAUGCCUAAAUUUCAAAAUGCCUAAAUUUUUGUCUUGGCUCUAAAAAAGGAAAAAAGGAAACUAACAUUUUAAUCAUGGAUCAAUACGUUGAAAAAUUAGAUUUCAGGGGGAAGGAUCCAACUACUGGCCCACAUGUUUGUGACAUAGCCAAAAGAAUGUUUUAGGCAAGAAAAAAGCAUUUUUUCAAUAGAGAUGUUCUAAAACCAUUUCCCAAAAGAAGGGAUAUAAUACCCAUAUUUUUUAAACUGAGGGAUAUUUUCUAAAAUCACAGUUUUUUCAGCUGAAAACUGUAAUCUUUAAAUAUUUGUUGGAAGAAAGAUUUGAGCUUAUUUUUUUGUAGUACUGAGGACUGAACCCAAGAGUGCUCUACCACUGAGCUACCACCCCAGCCUUUUCACUUAUUUGAGACGGGGUCUCAUUAAGUUCUCUGGACAGGACCCAGACUUGUGAUCCUCUUGCCUUAGCCUCCUGAGUCACUGGGAUUACAGGAGUACACCACCAUGCCCAGCUUAGAUUUGAGUUUCUUGUUGGGGAUUUUGAAAGGAAAUUUAGCUGCAUUCAAUUAGUUUUAACAAGCAGUCUAAUUUGUUAAAAGAAAAUGUCCAGUGAAUUUUGUAAUUCCUUUAUAAUUUUUCUCUAUGAAUUCCACCGGCAAAUGUCCUCCUAGCUUCUUCUAAUCAGAAGCCAGAGUGCAUUUUGUUUUAAAUAGAAUAGAUUCAUGUGCAUAUGACCUCGUGGGUUGUCAGCCUUAAUCUCAUAAUGAAAGUUCUCCUUUAAAAAUGUCAGAAUUAAGGAGAGGUAGAGGGGGCAGUGAUACUAGCCAAAUUAUAUUGUUAUAUUGUGUGCACACAUAGGAAUAUGUAACAACAAAUCCCAAUAUUAUGUACAACUAUAAUGCACCAAGAAAAAUGUGGAAGUAAAGAAAGUCAGGGUUAACUAUCAGAAGUUAUUUUGAAAACAGGUAACAACAUUGAUUGUAUUCUACACAAACAGUUUAGGUGGUAAGGAUCAAAUUACUUAAUUUUUGUAGUGUUUUUCCUUUUUAAGGUCAAAGUUUUCAGGCCUUUUAAUAAAAAAGAAAAGCAGUAGGAUAAAAAUUAAAAUAGCUAAAAUUGAGUUUAAAAAACUUGAUUUUUAAUUCUCUUUAAGGGUAUAAUUUUCUUGAAUAGAAGUGUAAAAGGCAGAAUGGGGAUAGAUCUGAAAAUAAAACUUCAGGCACUUAAUGGGAGUAGACACUCAAAAAUACUGCACAAGUGGCUGAAGAGCCACCACCAGGUAAACACAUCAAGACUAAGGAACCAAUAACCACCAAUGCUAUUUUCAGCUGUACUUCUAAAAUUGUCUCAAGUGAUUAAUCCACCCCAGUCACUAAGAAAAUCUAUAGCAGAAUGUUUUAAGUAUCUUAUUUGUGCCUCAGUGUCCAAAGAAUAUUCUAAACAAUCUUGCUUAAAAUUUUCAACUUAGCUGCUUCAGAGGGUAUGUAGAUUUCUAAUUAAACUAAAUAAAAUAAGCCAAAUUAAAAGCAAUAAGAGGGCUGGGGUUGUAGCUCAGUGGUAGAGCACUUGCCUAGCAUGCGUGAGGCACUGUGUUCCAUCCUCAGCACUGCAUAAAAAGUAUUAUGCCCACCCACAAUUUAAAACAAAAAGCAAUAGGAAAAAGUAUAGAAAUCCUUUCUUUCUUUCUUUCUUUUUUUUUUUUUUAAAGUGCUAGCCAGGUGUAAUGGUGCAUUACUGUAGUCCCAGUUUCUCAGGAGGCCCAGGAAGGAGGAUCGCUUGAGCACAGGAGUUUGGGGCCAGAACAUAACAAACCCUCUUUAAAAAAAAAAAAAAAGAAAAAGAAAAAGAAAAAA
Ictidomys tridecemlineatus (thirteen-lined ground squirrel) is the source of this 6829-nucleotide long non-coding RNA. RefSeq lists it as uncharacterized. NCBI's taxonomy places the organism in Eukaryota, Metazoa, Chordata, Mammalia, Rodentia, Sciuridae. The record is from RefSeq and is a predicted model, not a curated record.